UGGUUCUGGCAACGAUGAAGAACGCAGCGAAAUGCGAUAAGUAAUGUGAAUUGCAGAAUUCCGUGAAUCAUCGAAUCUUUGAACGCACAUUGCGCCCACCAGUACUCUGGUGGGCAUGCCUGUCCGAGCGUCAUUUCGACCCUCGAGCUCCCCUUUUUGUGGUGGCUCGGUGCUGGGACACUACAGCGUUCGCGCGCUGUAGGUCCCGAAACAUAGUGGCGGCCUCGCCGAGACCCCGAGCGCAGUAAACCGUGCUUUAGCACAGCGCCUCGUUCAGGGUGUCCGGCGGGUGCCCCGGCCGUAAAACCCCCCAAUUUACCAAAGGUUGACCUCGGAUCAGGUAGGAAUACCCGCUGA
This 357-nucleotide unclassified non-coding RNA is filed under the name uncultured fungus. Its description in RNAcentral is "partial contains 5.8S ribosomal RNA and internal transcribed spacer 2". The stretch from base 1 to 133 matches the Rfam family "5.8S ribosomal RNA", at positions 22 to 154 of the family's 154-position model. Lineage: Eukaryota; Fungi. The record is from RNAcentral.